Long non-coding RNA from Callithrix jacchus (white-tufted-ear marmoset), 6051 nucleotides. RefSeq lists it as uncharacterized. NCBI's taxonomy places the organism in Eukaryota, Metazoa, Chordata, Mammalia, Primates, Cebidae. The record is from RefSeq and is a predicted model, not a curated record.
UGAUGCCAUUUCAAUAGUGACUUAUUACAGUCUAUGUACUUUCCAAGAAUGUCACCAUCUCUAAGUAGGAAAUAAUCCUUGUCAUCUAGAGUAUCCAGGCACUUUGGCGCCUCCACAUUCUGGGAGAAGAACUUUAUCUCCAACUUUCACGCUUUCCUUUUGAACGCCACCCAACAGUAGCUGCUGUUGCUUGCAAUAUUUUCCUUGAGACUGUUCUGGAAGCAUAAUGCCUCUUUGGUUGCAAUUUCAGCAGUUCCUCCUUUCAACCAAUAUUUGGUCAAAGAGUGGAAGAAAUUUUCUAAAUGCUUGUCCUGCCAUGACUCCCUCCACCUCAGACUCAAACUCUGCUCUGGCACACAAGCCGCAAGGAGAGACCUGCGGUCCGGCCCUGGCAACACCUGAAAAUGCCGCCCAACGCGCGUAGUUAAGUCAUUUCGCAUCGUCCCAUUAUCAGAAUGGCUUCUGGGAAAACCCCUGCCUUCCACUGUGACAACUCACCUGGUAUUGUGACACACGUGAUGGCCAGUAUCAACAAGGAUUCUUCCGAAUCACACGCUGGGGGCUGUAGGUUUUGUCUGAAAUGCCUGGAGGGACUUCUCCUGUGGAUGACAGGGGCACACACGCUUUGCUUGUGGCAUUAGCACAAUCUCCAUGGCAGAGCCAUCUCGCCGGCAACUUCCCUGUCACUCACCCCUCCCUUCUUCCUGUCCUUUCUGAUAUGACUUGUGGAAUCUGACUCUUGGAACCCAUAGGCCAAAAGGCUUGCUGCUCUCUCGUCGAGAUUCAAAACAAACCUUCAGAAUUGUGCCCUAAGAGACAUUAUAGUAAUAAGAGGAAGACAACAGUCAGAAGGAGGCAGAGCGAGAAGAAAGAAGGAAGAAUAUUAAGACAGGGUUUAAGAAGAUUGAGGGAAGUGAUGAUGGCAGUGGACGGACCUGAGCUCUGCCUUUGCUAGCUAUGCAUGCGUGGAUUCCGGUCACAACAGGACAGCAAUGGGAACCCUUAUCCAGAGCUGGUUUCAUGUCAGGUGCCAAGCAUAGUCCCUGGGAACUACUGGAGGCUCCAAGAUUAUGCCGAAGACAAUUAAAACCAGACUGGAGGCUAGGGGAGUCUCUAAGAAAAAGAUGUCCUUUGGUGACUCCGCUUCGCAGACGUGUCAGCUGUCUAACAGCAGCCCCCAGGCAGGACAGACAAGCGUGACUGCUCUAGAGCUCCUCAUUUCUCUGCACAGCCUUCCUGCUAGGCUGCUCAGUGACUCACAGCAGAAAGAGAAGGAAUCGCUGCUAAACUGUCCCCUAACACCUCCUUCGCCAUGCCCCGAAAAACCAAAAAUGACAAAAAAAACAACUGGCUGAGUUGUUACUUUGGGCUUCCGGGCCCAUCACUCUCUGCAUUUCAGUUCCUUAUUCUGUAGAAAUCGUGAGUUGAAAUGGGAGACCUAAGUUCCCUUCAGGUUCUAAACUUUCUGAGUCUUCGAUCCUACUGGGAGCUAUGGUCAGCUCAGCCCCCUGCCCUCCUCCCACUCUGCAGAGUAGAUCAGGCCUGGUUCCCCAGGAACAAGACCUGCACCCACCCAGCCCCGGGGCUGCCCUUCUGUAGCGUGUCUCUCUUCGUUGUCUGCCUCUGUGCUCUCCUGCUGUACCCUUCAUUCUGUGGAUCAAGCCUGCUCUCCAUGGCCAUUUUAAUAAGAUUUUAUCUCUGUAAAAAUGAUCUAUUCCAGACCAUCCUCUAUCUGGGCUUUGUAUCCUUGGGAACUACAUUUUCCAGGCUCAUUUCCAGACCGGCUAAAGAGAGCCAGGGAUGGACACUGGAGAAUGCGAGAAGGGAAGAAGCCAGGUUUUCAGGGCCACUUGGAAAUCCUCCGUGCUGUCACAGCCUCCGUGGAAGCAGUGCUGAUUAAGCCAAACACACAGUCCGGCCCAGUUCUGCCUGGUGGGGUCAGGGGAAACCAGUCCACCGGAAGUGGGUGUAGGUUCUGGGAGGAGUCUGUCAGGAACGUCACCAUGCCUCCCCCAGUGCUGGACCCACUGUCUGUACCCCAGGUGACUUUCACCGAAGAAGAGGAAGCCAGUGCCAUGCAUCUUGCCGUGGCCUGCCAGCCCGGCCGGUCCUUGGGUUGUCGGAGCAGAGUGGGGUUUUAUGCACAAGCAGGGAAAAUGGCCUCUCUCCUCAGCUCUAAACUAAACUUUGUCACCUGGAAGCUGAGGCAAUGAUGCUUGGAACUGAGAACCAUAAAGGCGUUUUUGUGGGCAGUUUCCCUACUUUCUGGCUCUUAUGCAUCUAACCACUGGGGUCUAAAACCAAAUCCAAAGACCUAGGAAGGAAGAGAAUCCAUACCAUCCUUCCAACCUCCUCCUCCUGGUUCUUAGCUGUCUCAGCAACCCUUCUUUCUACUCCCCAAGUCACAGAGCAAAACUUCCCAACCAUAUCAACAGAGGCAAACAGAUACUCUUGUGUCUAUGGGAGUGUAGGUGUGCUGAUGGGUGUCUACACUAACAGUCUACACUUCAUUUCGACCAGUCCAAGUGUGUUUUAUAUGCUACUUGGUAGUGUUAAUUCACUCUAAUAACUGAAAUAUCUGGUUUUAAGUAGAUUCUAAGAGAAAUGCUCCACGUUACAAUGUCUUUCCCCCAAAAGACAGAACCUAUAUACACAUUGAUGUCGUGUAAUUUACAGGAGCUGCACGUGUGAGAACCUGUUUGUUGUGGGAAGAAGCAAGAGCUCCUCCCCACUUCCUGUGCAGGGCUGGGGUACCUAGCUGCAGUUUAAGAGCAAGGCCUGAGAUCUAGCUACGUUCUUGCCCAUGUGAGGCCCGGUUUUGCCUGAAAAUAGAACUUCUGCAGAAAGUUCCCUUAUCCCUCUUGCAGGACAGGUGACAGGGUUGUGGCUCACCUCUUCAGUGUCCCACUGCUCAAACCCCUGGGGGGAGCAUGCAGACAGCAGGUUGUGGGGAGCUUUUCUGGGCUCUGACCUCUUGGCAGUGUCUAGGGUUGAGUGUUUGCAGCUCCCGAAGCCCCAGGAGGCGUGUGCUACAGUGCGCUCUUUUGGUUUUGACGUCUGCAGGCAGCUUGCGUUAAUCAGCUCAUUUAGACCCUCCGCCUGGUCACAAAGAUGAGGACUUUUUUUUUUUUUUUUUUUGAGAUGGAUUUUUGCUCUUGUUACCCAGGCUGGAGUGCAAUGGUGCGAUCUCGGCUCACCGCAACCUCCACUUCCUGGGUUCAGGCAAUUCUCCUGCCUCAGCCUCCUGAGUAGCUGGGAUUACAGGCACGUGCCACCAUGCCCAGCUAAUUUUUGUAUUUUUAGUAGAGACGGGGUUUCACCAUGUUGACCAGGAUGGUCUCGAUCUCUUGACCUCGUGAUCCACCCGCCUUGGCCUACCAAAGUGCUGGGAUUAUAGGCGUGAGCCACUGCACCCAGCCCGGGCUUUCUUAUCCCCAGUUCUUGCCCUAGUGUACCAGAAAGAAUUGGAUAACACUUGAGCUUGGAAGAUGGGUGCAAGGUUUUAUUGAGUGGUGGAGGUUGCUCUCAGCAAGGUAGAUGGGGAGCCAGAAGGGGGAUGGAGUGGGAAGGCAGUCUUCCCCUGGAGUCGGGCUGUCCAGCGGCUGGACUCUCCUCUGACUGCCCUUGUCCGAAUUUUCUGCAUCAUCCAGCCUCAGUGGCCUGCUGGGCAUCUGCUGGGGCCUGUUCGUGUGCUCUUCUGAUCCUCGGCUCCUCUCCACAUCCAACUGCUUGUGUCCAUGUCCACUAGGGUCUCAGAGCUUUUAUGGGCACAGGAUGGGGGGUGUGGUGGGCCAGAGUGGUCUUGAAAAAUGCAACAUUUGGGCAUAAAAACAGGAGUGCCUGUUCUCACUUAGGUCCCUGGGCAUAAACCUGAGGGUGGAGCCCUCUCCAGGAACCCCGCCCUUCUCUCCCCAGUACUUCCUUGCUCACCUCCCAUAUCACGUCUACUGUUCCCUGGUGAAAAUAGUAAUACUGAGAAUGAGCUGGGGUGGAACAUUGAUGUCUCAAAACAUUUAUCAUUCUUUCACUUAACAAUGAAGAUGUCACUUCCUGUUAGAGAGUUUGGGGAAUAAAAAUACUUCUUAAAAAAUAAAAAAUACUCUUUGGAAAUUUACAGUUAAGAAACCCACAGUUCUUUAGUGAAUACUUAAUUCCAGGUGCUAUUUAAUUUAUACUCAACGUGGAGCCUCCCAGUCAAUCCUCACAUAAAGUAGAAGCUACUAUAACUUCAUUUUACAAAUGAGGAAACAGCGUAGACAGGUUAAGCGACUCGCUCAAGGACCCAGCAGAGUCAAGAUUCAGGCCUGGCUAUCCAGAUUCCCGAACCUUUGCUCUCAUCUGAUACACUGCUCCGCUCACCUCCUUUAACUGAAAACCCUGACUGUCACCAGACAGUUCAUCAGAUUCCCCUCAGUGUGUAUUUAAACACAGCACAAGCUGUAAGUUGGUGUAAAAGCGGUUUCUUCAUUGACUGGCAAGAAUUCUAAGGGUAAUCUCAUCAAAUUAUAAUGUUCCAGCUUUACGAGUAGAAAUUGGGGUUAAAAAGCUUUAAAUCCUUAAAAAGUAAUAGAGCGUCUAAAAAAAACCUACCACUGGUUAUAUUUACAUCUACUUGUGUUAUGAUAUGGAAACUUAAAUUUAUAAGUAACUGCCAACUUGUCUUCCAAAGUGGCUGUACCAUUUCGCAUUCUCACAAGCAAUGAAUGAGAAUUCUUGUUGCUCCUCAUCCGUGGCAGCAUUUGAGGUGCUCAUGUUCUGGAUUUUGGCCAUUCCUAAAGGUGCGUGUAGUGGUACCUCAUUGUUUUAAUUGGCGUUUUCCUGAUGACGUAUGAUGUGAAGCAUCUUUUCAUAUGCGUAUUUACUACCUGCAUAUCUUCUUUGAUGAUGUGUCUUGUCAAGAUCUUUUGCCCACUUUUCAAAUGAGUUGUUUUCUUAUUGUUGAGUUUGAAUAGUUUGAAUAUAGAAAUAGAGAAGGUUUGUUUACUAAUCAAGAUGUAUAAGCAUUUUAACAGCCAGUUGAUAGUAAAUAUGUUACUUUUUCCAAAUUGGUUACAUAGAAGUCUAUUUCUAAAACAAUAAUAAUAGUGAGAGAUUGUAUUCUUGUAGGGAAUUUUUUUCUAAGAAGCAUGGCAAAACUCUUGAUGAUUCUAUAAUAGGCUCAAAGGUUUAGGUUUGUUAGAUGUUGAUGAUGUUGAUGGGCUGCUAGAUGUCAGAUCAUGAGUCGUGAUCAUCAUCAUGACUCAUGGUGUGAGAGAACACAGCCUAGUGGGUAAGAGCAUGGAUGCGGCCGGGUGCGGUGGCUCAAGCCUGUAAUCCCAGCACUUUGGGAGGCCGAGGCAGGUGGAUCACGAGGUCAAGAGAUCGAGACCAUCCUGGUCAACAUGGUGAAACCCUGUCUCUACUAAAAAUACAAAAAAAAUUAGCUGGGCAUGGCGGUGCGUGCCUGUAAUCCCAGAUACUCAGGAGGCUGAGGCAGGAGAACUGCCUGAACCCAGGAGGCGGAGGUUUCGGUGAGCCGAGAUCGCACCAUUGCACUCCAGCCUGGGUAACAAGAGCGAAACUCCGUCUCAAAACAAAACGAAAAAAAGAGCAUGUAUGCUGGAGUUCAUGUCCCAGUGUUCCCACUUAGUGUUUGUGCGACAUUGGGCAAAUUACUCAACCUGUCUGGCCUCAGUUUCCUAAUCUGAAAAAUGGGGAGGACAAUAUUACCUGCCAUUGUGGAUUGAAUGUUUGUGUCCCCUGAAAUGCAUAUGCUGGAGCCCUAACCCCCAUGUAGCUGUAUUUGGAUAUGGCGGCUCUAAGGAUGUAGUGAAGGCUGGAUGAAUGGUAAAGAUGGAGCCCUGAGCCCGUAAAUUAGUAUCCUUAUGAGGAGAGACACCGGAGAGCUCACUCACUCUAAGGAGCACAGAGGAAGGCCAGGGGAGCACACACUGAGAAUGCGGCUGUCUGCCCCCUGUGAAGGGAGCCCUCACCCGACACCAGCUCCGCUGAUACCUUGGUCUUGAAAUUCCAGUCUCUGGAACUGUGGGAAAAUAAAUGUUUGUUGUUUAA